RNAcentral lists this ribosomal RNA (440 nucleotides) under uncultured bacterium. RNAcentral describes it as "partial 16S ribosomal RNA". It matches the Rfam family "Bacterial small subunit ribosomal RNA", at positions 338 to 795 of the family's 1533-position model. The record is from RNAcentral.
CCUACGGGGUGCAGCAGUAGGGAAUCUUUCACAAUGGGCGAAAGCCUGACGGAGCAACGCCGCGUGCAGGAUGAAGGCCUUCGGGUUGUAAACUGCUUUUAUAAGCGAGAAAUAUGAUGGCAACUUAUGAAUAAGGAUCGGCUAAAUACGUGCCAGCAGCCGCGGUAAUACGUAGGUGGCAAGCGUUAUCCGGAAUGACUGGGCGUAAAGGGUGCGUAGGUGGUUUAGUAAGUUGGCGGUGAAAUUCCGGGGCUCAACCUCGGUGCUACCGCCAAAACUAUUAGACUAGAGUGCAGGAGGGGUAAGUGGAAUUCCUAGUGUAGCGGUGGAAUGCGUAGAUAUUAGGAGGAACAUCAGGGGCGAAGGCGACUUACUGGACUGUGACUGACGCUGAGGCACGAAAGCGUGGGGAGCAAACAGGAUUAGAUACCCCUGUAGUC